GGAGAGAUGGCUGAGUGGUCGAAAGCAACGGUUUGCUAAACCGUCGUACGGAAUUAAUUCCGUACCGAGGGUUCGAAUCCCUCUCUCUCCG
Molecule: transfer RNA, 91 nt
Filed under: Elusimicrobiota bacterium
Lineage: Bacteria; Pseudomonadati; Elusimicrobiota
Description: tRNA-Ser
Rfam family: tRNA
About the family: Transfer RNA (tRNA) molecules are approximately 80 nucleotides in length. Their secondary structure includes four short double-helical elements and three loops (D, anti-codon, and T loops).
Source: RNAcentral